This 665-nucleotide long non-coding RNA is filed under the name Malus domestica (apple). RNAcentral's name for it is "long non-coding RNA (MDOM_LNC017858)". Lineage: Eukaryota; Viridiplantae; Streptophyta; Magnoliopsida; Rosales; Rosaceae. The record is from RNAcentral.
UAGCACAAUACACAAUCUGAAAAUCGUAAUAUCUUCCUCUAGUAAUCAACAAAUUGAAUUGCCAUGGAGAAAUCAAUCAAGUUAGCAUUCCUCAUUACGGUGUUGGUUGUUGCAUCUCUUGGUACCAUAUUUCUUGACUAAUUUUUGUUUUGGGAGUUGUUAUUAGUACUUCAAAAAUCUCAUUUUACACUCCACACAAGUGUACUUUUCUUUCUAAUAAUAGAAAAUUUAGAGUGUAAAAUGAGAUUUUUGGAAUGCUAAUAGCAAUUCCCUUUGUUUUUUCACCCAUUUGUUUCUCAUAUGUUUUUUGUAUCUUUUCUCUUUCAUCCUUGCAACUUUUCCAUACAUGGCAUAAUAGCAUGUAUAUUUCCGAUUUAAUAAUAAAAAAUAUAUUCGUGGCAGGUGUGAAUCUUGGAGCCGAAGCACAUGAUUUUCAGCUUCCGGGUGUCUGCCAAAAACCUCAGGAUUGUGAUGGCCGUAAUUGUGAAUGUGUCGGUCAAAAAUGUUAUUGUUCUAGAGAAGGAGUGAGAAAGUUCAUGUUCAAAGACUCUUCUGCACAAUCGCAAGAGCAGAAAAAAAUUCCGUAAUUAGAAAUCUUCAAUUCUCGUAUUGACAUCUUCAAAUAUUUAUGAUGCUAUAAAAGCACACAAGUUGUAGAUGCGAAG